AACGAUGAUCCGGUGCUUGCACCGGGGAUUAGUGGCGAACGGGUGAGUAACACGUGAGUAACCUGCCCUUGACUCUGGGAUAAGCCUGGGAAACUGGGUCUAAUACCGGAUAUGACUCCUCAUCGCAUGGUGGGGGGUGGAAAGCUUUUGUGGUUUUGGAUGGACUCGCGGCCUAUCAGCUUGUUGGUGAGGUAAUGGCUCACCAAGGCGACGACGGGUAGCCGGCCUGAGAGGGUGACCGGCCACACUGGGACUGAGACACGGCCCAGACUCCUACGGGAGGCAGCAGUGGGGAAUAUUGCACAAUGGGCGAAAGCCUGAUGCAGCGACGCCGCGUGAGGGAUGACGGCCUUCGGGUUGUAAACCUCUUUCAGUAGGGAAGAAGCGAAAGUGACGGUACCUGCAGAAGAAGCGCCGGCUAACUACGUGCCAGCAGCCGCGGUAAUACGUAGGGCGCAAGCGUUAUCCGGAAUUAUUGGGCGUAAAGAGCUCGUAGGCGGUUUGUCGCGUCUGCCGUGAAAGUCCGGGGCUCAACUCCGGAUCUGCGGUGGGUACGGGCAGACUAGAGUGAUGUAGGGGAGACUGGAAUUCCUGGUGUAGCGGUGAAAUGCGCAGAUAUCAGGAGGAACACCGAUGGCGAAGGCAGGUCUCUGGGCAUUAACUGACGCUGAGGAGCGAAAGCAUGGGGAGCGAACAGGAUUAGAUACCCUGGUAGUCCAUGCCGUAAACGUUGGGCACUAGGG
RNAcentral lists this ribosomal RNA (743 nucleotides) under Arthrobacter globiformis. RNAcentral describes it as "bacterial SSU rRNA". It matches the Rfam family "Bacterial small subunit ribosomal RNA", at positions 65 to 821 of the family's 1533-position model. Lineage: Bacteria; Bacillati; Actinomycetota; Actinomycetes; Micrococcales; Micrococcaceae. The record is from RNAcentral.